CCUACGGGUGGCAGCAGUGGGGAAUAUUGGACAAUGGGGGAAACCCUGAUCCAGCGACGCCGCGUGUGUGAAGAAGUAUUUCGGUACGUAAAGCUCUAUCAGCAGGAAAGAAAAUGACGGUACCUGACUAAGAAGCCCCGGCUAACUACGUGCCAGCAGCCGCGGUAAUACGUAGGGGGCAAGCGUUAGCCGGAUUUACUGGGUGUAAAGGGAGCGUAGACGGCAGCGCAAGUCUGGAGUGAAAUGCCGGGGCUCAACCCCGGAACUGCUCUGGAAACUGUGAAGCUGGAGUGCAGGAGAGGUAAGCGGAAGUCCUGGUGUAGCGGUGAAAUGCGUAGAGAUCAGGAGGAACACCGGCGGCGAAGGCGGCUUACUGGACUGUAACUGACGUUGAGGCUCGAAGGCGUGGGGAGCAAACAGGAUUAGAUACCCCUGUAGUC
This 440-nucleotide ribosomal RNA is filed under the name uncultured bacterium. RNAcentral describes it as "partial 16S ribosomal RNA". It matches the Rfam family "Bacterial small subunit ribosomal RNA", at positions 338 to 795 of the family's 1533-position model. The record is from RNAcentral.